UACGUAGGGGGCGAGCGUUGUCCGGAGUUACUGGGCGUAAAGCGCACGCAGGCGGUCUGUUAAGUUUGGAGUGACAGUUGGUGGCUCAACCACCAAAGUGCUUUGAAAACUGAUAGACUUGAGGGCUUCAGAGGGACACGGAAUUCCGGGUGGAGUGGUGAAAUGCGUAGAGAUCCGGAGGAACACCAGCGGCGAAGGCGGCAUCCUGGACUGGUCCUGACACUCAUGAGCGAAAGCGUGGGGAGCGAUCCGG
Molecule: ribosomal RNA, 253 nt
Filed under: uncultured bacterium
Lineage: Bacteria
Description: partial 16S ribosomal RNA
Rfam family: Bacterial small subunit ribosomal RNA
Source: RNAcentral